GGUCCCGCCUGCCCAGUGAUAAACUUAAACGGCCGCGGUAUUCUAACCGUGCAAAGGUAGCGUAAUCACUUGUCUUCUAAAUAAAGACCAGUAUGAACGGCUAAAUGAGGACAGACCUGUCUCUUACAACCAAUCAGUGAAACUGAUCUUCCAGUUCAAAAGCUGGAAUAAAAACAUAAGACGAGAAGACCCUGUGGAGCUUUAGACCAACCUGUUAACAAGCACUUACAAGUGCCCCUAAUAGGAGGUCUUAAGUUGGGGCGACUUCGGAAUAAAAGAAAACUUCCGAGCACAGAACCACAACCUCUUACUAAGGCAGACAAGCCAAAGUUUCAACAACCGACCCAGUAACACUGAUCAACGAACCAAGUUACCCCAGGGAUAACAGCGCUAUCUUCUUCAAGAGUCCAUAUCGACAAGAAGGUUUACGACCUCGAUGUUGGAUCAGGACACCCAAAUGGUGCAGCCGCUAUUAAAGGUUCGUUUGUUCAACGAUU
RNAcentral lists this ribosomal RNA (497 nucleotides) under Mesoscincus schwartzei. RNAcentral's name for it is "partial 16S ribosomal RNA". It matches the Rfam family "Bacterial large subunit ribosomal RNA", at positions 1851 to 2589 of the family's 2925-position model. The record is from RNAcentral. Lineage: Eukaryota; Metazoa; Chordata; Lepidosauria; Squamata; Scincidae.